This is an RNA transcript of Scylla paramamosain (green mud crab), 3483 nucleotides long. It is a transcript of the gene named arylsulfatase I-like, with no coding region annotated. The record is from RefSeq and is a predicted model, not a curated record. The transcript is spliced from 12 exons. Lineage: Eukaryota; Metazoa; Arthropoda; Malacostraca; Decapoda; Portunidae.
CCUUGAGUAUCACUUCUGUGCUUAGUUCCACUCUGGAUUGUCCACACGAGCAACGUAUCCACCCGCUUUCUCUCUCUUUUCUCUCUUUCUCACUUCUUCUAUAAUAUAUGUCUCUCUCCUUCUGUCCUGCGCUCCAUCUAUCUGUUACAUCUUUUCUUUUUUUUUUUUUCUUUAAGCUUUUUACUUUUCUUAACUCGAUUAUAUCUUGUCAACCUCCUUAUUCUGCUUCCCGUUCUCUUUUCUUCUUCUUCUUCUUCCUUCACAUAUUAAUCUUUUCUGUCAUUCUUUUUUCCCAAGUUUUCUAUUUAUCGUGUGCAUUCUGAAGGAGUGAAAAAAAGGGGAGCAUGGCGCAGCUUAUACAGACAUUACUGGUUCUCUCCGGAUUCCUCUUUGUGUGGCCCCAAGCUGAAGGUAGAGGAAGAGGACCAGGGGGAGGAGGAGGAGGAGGAGGAGGAGGAGGAGAAGGGAAGAAGAAUCACUACCAUCUCCAUCAUCACCACCACCACUUUCACGAGCAGCAGACACUGCCAACUACUGCUUACCUGCUGGAGGAGUUAAUGAAAGGACAAACGGAGAAUGGGGAGAGGGAAAUGAAUCUAGUUGUUCCUCCACUACCCACACCACACGCCACUCUUCCACCUCCCUCUCUACGCCUGAAGCAGUACACCUGGCCGCCCCUAGGAGGAAGAGGAGAAGGAAGUGGAGGAAGAGGAGAAAGAAGUGGAGGAGGAGGAGGAAGUGGAGAUGUCAGUGAGCAUGAUUUCAGUAAUUUAAGAGCUAAGGAGCUGAGAAAAAUGGAAGAGGAGGAGAAGAGGAUGUGGAAAAGGAUGAAGAACAGAAGAAGGAAGUUGAGGAAGAUGAUGAAGGAAGAAAUGAAGAGAAGGAAGAGGCAGAUGAGGCUGACGAGCAAGAGGAAGAGAGGCAGUGACAGAAGACCCAAUAUUAUGCUGAUUGUAGCUGAUGACCUAGGCUACAAUGACGUCCCGUGGCACAACCCUGACAUCCGCGCCCCUGAACUGCUGCGCCUGGCCCGUCAUGGCGUGGUGCUGGAGAACCAUUACGUGCUGCCAGUGUGUUCUCCGUCCAGGGCCGCGCUCCUCACCGGCCGCUACCCUUUCAGAUACGGCAAGCAGGCUUCCUUCACGCCCCUCAGCCCCACCGGCCUCAACACCUCCCUCACGCUCCUGCCUCAACACCUUCAGCGACUUGGUUACAAGACGCACCUCGUCGGCAAAUGGCAUCUCGGUCAUUGUGACUGGGCCUACACACCCACACACCGCGGAUUUGACUCCUUCUACGGCUACUACCUGGGCAGCCAAGGGUACUAUAACAGAUACAAGAAGAUCGGGAUGCCUCCAAUCUCCGCUGGCCACAGGAACGAGGUGCUGGGACGCCACUCCGUUACUACUGGAGAAGGCGCCGACGGGAAUACUGAUUUAGGUGGGAACGGAGGAAGUGGCGACAGUAAUACUCUUGAGGAUGUGUUUUCUGUGGGAGGGCGACGGUGAGGGACUGCUGAAGACGAAGAAGACGGCGCUGAGAGAGGAGCAGCAAUAUAAUGAAGGAGGUUAUGACUUCAGACUGAACGAAACACCGCUGACUAACGUGACGGGAGUAUAUUCCAACGAUCUUUACGCAGCCAGAGUGGAAGAAGUGAUCCGGGAGCAUGUGAGAGGAAGUGAAGGGGCGCCUCUGUUCCUCAUGCUCUCCCUGCAGGCCACCCACGGUCCCCUGGAGGCGCCCCCGUCGAUAUGCGGCAAAAGAAACUCCGUCCCCAAGCACAUCGAAAACCCCUCCAGGAAGAUAUUUCAUGACAUGGUGGCGGCGAUGGACUGUGUAGUGGGACGGAUGGUGAAGCAGCUGCGACGGUCACACCUCUAUCACAACACGAUCAUUGUCUUCACCGCCGACAAUGGAGGCAACUUCCGUGUCGGAGGGAACAACUUUCCUCUGCGGGGAAGCAAAGGGAGUCUGUACGAGGGAGGCACGCGCGGGGUGAGUCUCCUCCACUCCCCUCUCCUCCCCAAUGUGGGCCAUCGCUAUAGAGGGCUGAUGCACGUAGUGGACUGGCGGGAAACUCUGCUGCACGCCGCCAUGGGACCCGCGCACUGGCCCUUACACAGCUCCCCGGACCUGCAGGAGAGAGGGAGGAAGGAGGCAGAGGAGAUGGUGGAGGAGGAGCGUGAAGGGGACGAUGACAGCUUGGACUUGUGGAGUGCGCUGCUCCACAACGGCCCGUCUCCCCGCACCUCCUUCGUGUACAAUCUGAGGAAGGGACCCCUACGAGGCGCCAUCAGGCGGCGUCACUGGAAGCUGGUGGUGGGUCUCGGAGGGCGGUACGACGGGUGGGUGCCGCCUGAGGACGUGGGCACCGUGACGGGCGAGGAGUGCUCCUCCUGGAACACGCCCACCACUCGCCACCUGCUCGCCCACGCCCAUGCAAGUGACAUCAACGAUAUGGUGAUGCUGUUCAAUAUGAGGGACGACCCUCUAGAGACGACUGAUCUCUCAGGCCUGUACCCUGAGGUGGUGGCCACUCUGCGAGCAAAAUUGCGGGAGUACAGCAGACACAGCAAGCACCCACACUCUCCCAAGGACGACCCCAGAGGUCACCCUAGUCUCCACGGGGGCUUCUUCUCCCCGGGGUGGUGCGAGCCGCUAGUGUAAGGCGAGUGUGUUGGGGAUUUGAGGUGUUGGGUGGCACGUAGCGGGGGUUUUCAGGUGUGUACGUGGGAGUAGGUGGGCGUUAGAAUAUGUGUUGAUUCUUCUUCUCAUAAAUAAAUGUGUUUCAUUGCCUUUAACUCUUUGAGCACUUAUUUCAUACUACAGUCACUUGAAUAGUUGAUGAACACUUACCUUCAUACUAGUACAGUCACUUAUUAAGAGUGCUGUUUUUCUUGUUAUUAUUGUUAUUUAUUCCUUUAUAAUCGAUGUACAUUUCCAGAAUACCUUAUAACCUUGAAGAGAGUAUAGAACAUGCAGGGGGAGUUUCGUGACGUUUGAGGUGAAUUGUAUGAAUGUUUGUAGUCGAAAGGUGAGGCAAUACCGGUAGAAGCAGAAAUAGAGGGAGACGGUGUGAUAUGUACGAAUGCUUGGAGUGGAAAGGUAAAAAAGUAGAAAAAAACGAUUAAAUAAUAUGAAUGUUUGAUGUAGUAGAGCGAGAAAGUAGUAGAAGUAGAGGAAAAUGUACGAGUAGAAAGAAAUAGAAAUUGAGGCAAGAAUAAUGUGAAUAUUUGCAGCAGAAGAAAGUUUAAGAAGUAAAAGUAGAUGCAAAUUAAAAGUACAGUAGAAGUUAAGGAUGCUAUGAAGUUCUAGGAAAAAAAUAAAUAGGUGAAGUAGAUAUAGACUGAAGUAGCAUAUAAAGUAAGAGGGUAGGUUAGCUUCGACUAGGUUAGGAUUAGGUUAAGUUAGCUUUAGAUAAGAGAGAAGACGCAGUUUGAGGAUUCCAAUAAUAAUAAUAAUAAUAAUAAAUGUAAAAUAUUU